Molecule: ribosomal RNA, 275 nt
Filed under: uncultured bacterium
Lineage: Bacteria
Description: partial 16S ribosomal RNA
Source: RNAcentral
CUGCUGCCUUCCGUAGGAGUCUGGUCCGUGUCUCAGUACCAGUGUGGGGGACCUUCCUCUCAGAACCCCUACGCAUCGUCGGUUAGGUGGCCGUUACCCCGCCUACUGCCUAAUGCGCCGCAUGCCCAUCCCUGUCCGGCCGAAGCCUUUCCUGCCUCCGGGAUGCCCCGGUGGCAUGUACGCGGGUUUAGCCCGCCUUUCGGCGGGUUGUCCCCCUGACAGGGGCAGGUUGCAUACGUGUUACUCACCCGUGCGCCGGUCGCCGGCGGAGAAAG